This 373-nucleotide ribosomal RNA is filed under the name uncultured bacterium. Its description in RNAcentral is "bacterial SSU rRNA". It matches the Rfam family "Bacterial small subunit ribosomal RNA", at positions 93 to 500 of the family's 1533-position model. The record is from RNAcentral.
UAGUGGCGGACGGGUGAGUAACGCGUGGGAAUCUGCCCUCAGGAGGGGGAUAACGGUUGGAAACGACCGCUAAUACCCCAUAUGCCGAGAGGUGAAACGAAAUUCGCCUGAGGAUGAGCCCGCGUCUGAUUAGCUAGUUGGUGGGGUAAAGGCCUACCAAGGCAUCGAUCAGUAGCUGGUCUGAGAGGAUGAUCAGCCACACUGGGACUGAGACACGGCCCAGACUCCUACGGGAGGCAGCAGUGGGGAAUUUUCCGCAAUGGGCGCAAGCCUGACGGAGCAACGCCGCGUGAGGGAUGAAGGCCUCUGGGCUGUAAACCUCUUUUCUCAAGGAAGAAGAACUGACGGUACUUGAGGAGUAAGCCACGGCUAA